Molecule: non-coding RNA, 48 nt
Filed under: Trichobilharzia regenti
Lineage: Eukaryota; Metazoa; Platyhelminthes; Trematoda; Strigeidida; Schistosomatidae
Source: RNAcentral
AUCCAGAUGACGAGUUCCAAAUAGGACGAAAUGCACAUUUAAGUGGAU